RNAcentral lists this ribosomal RNA (253 nucleotides) under uncultured bacterium. RNAcentral describes it as "partial 16S ribosomal RNA". It matches the Rfam family "Bacterial small subunit ribosomal RNA", at positions 524 to 776 of the family's 1533-position model. The record is from RNAcentral.
UACGUAGGUGGCAAGCGUUGUCCGGAAUCACUGGGCGUAAAGGGCGCGUAGGCGGCCUGAUAAGUAGGGGGUGAAAUCCUGCGGCUUAACCGCAGGGCUGCCUUCUAAACUGUCAGGCUCGAGCACAGUAGAGGCAGGUGGAAUUCCCGGUGUAGCGGUGGAAUGCGUAGAGAUCGGGAAGAACAUCGGUGGCGAAGGCGGCCUGCUGGGCUGUUGCUGACGCUGAGGCGCGACAGCGUGGGGAGCAAACAGG